AAAACCUGCUAUUUUUAGAGAGUUAUCAUUUUGUUAAGAAAUAUUGUAUAUCUGGGAUUGUGAUUUAAAAAUUCGGAUAACAAGAGUUUUUCUUGAUAGGUGAGUAUGCUUUUUAGAAUUUUUGAUCAAUAGACUAUAAUUUUAAAAUAAAUUUUCCAAAACCUGCUAUUUUUAGAAAGUUAUCAUUUUGUUGAGAAAUAUUGUAGAUAUGAGAUUGUGAUUUAAAAAUUAGGAUAAGAGUUUUUCUUGAUAGAUGAGUAUGCUUUUGGAAUUUUUUGAUCAAUAGUUUCUAAUUUUUAAAUAAAUUUUUCAAAACCUGCUAUUUUUGGAAAGUUAUCAUUUUUUUGAUAAAUUUUGUAGAUUUGAGAUAGUGAUUUAUAAAUUAGGAUAACAAGAGUUUUUAUUGAUAAAUGGUAUGCUUUUAGAAUUUUUGAUCAAUGUGUUAUAUUUUUAAAAUAAUUUUUAAAAACUGCUAUGUUUUGGAAAGUUAUCAUUUUGUAGAAAAAUAUUAUAGAUUUGAGAUUGUGAUUUAGAAAUUAGGAAAACAAGAGUUUUUUUUUUGCUAGAUGGUUAUGCUUUCAAAAAUUUUGAUUAAUAGGUUAUAAGUUUUAAAUAGAUUUUCCAAAACUUGUUAUUUUUGGAAAUUUAUCUUUUUGAGGAGAAACAUUGUAGAUUUGGGAUUGUGAUUUAGAAAUUAGGAUAACAAGAGUUUUUGUUGAUAGUUGGGUAUGCUUUUAGAAUUUUGAUCAAUAGUUUAUAAUUUUUAAAUAAAUGUUUCAAAACCUGCAAUUUUUAGAAAGUUAUCAUUUUGUUGAGAAAUAUUGUAGGUUUGAGAUUUUGAUUUAGAAUUUAGAAUAACAAGAGUUUUUGUUGAUAGAUGGGUAUGCUUUUAGAAUUUUGAUCAAUGGGUUAUAAUUUUUAAAUAAAUUUUCCAAAACCUGCUAUUUUUAAAUAGUUUUCAUUUUGUAGGAUAAUAUUGUAGAUUUGGCAUUGUGAUUUAGAAAUUAGGAUAACAAGAGUUUUUGUUGAUAGAUAGGGAUGAAUUUAGAAUUUUUGAUCAAUAGAUUAUAUUUUUAAAAUAAUUUUUUUAAAAUUUUUAUAUUUGGAAAGUUAUCAUUUUGUAGAUAAAUAUUGUAGAUUUAAGAUUGUGAUUUAGAAAUUAGGAUAACGAGAGUUUUUGUUGAUAGAUGAGUAUGCUUUUAGAAUUUUGAUCAAUAGGUUAUAAUUUUUAUAUAAAAUUUUCAAAACCUGCUAUUUUUAGAAAGUUAUCAUUUUUGUUGAGAAAUAUUGUAUAUCUGGGAUUGUGAUUUAAAAAUUAGGAUAACAAGAGUUUUUGCUGAUAGAUGAGUAUGCUUUUUAGAAUUUUUGAUCAAUAGACUAUAAUUUUAAAAUAAAUUUUCCAAAACCUGUUAUUUUUGGAAAUUUAUCAUUUUAUUUAUAAAUAUUGUAGAUUUGUGAUAGUGAUUUAGAAAUUAGGAUAACAAGAGUUUUUGUUGAUAGAUGAGUAUGCUUUUAGAAUUUUUUGAUCAAUAUGUUAUAUUUUUAAAAUAAAUUUUUAAAAACUGGUAUAUUUGGAAAGUUAUCAUUUUGUAGAUAAAUAUUGUAGAUUUUGGAUUGUGAUUAUAAAUUAGAAUAACAAGAGUUUUUGUUUAUAGAUGAGUAUGCUUUUAGAAUUUUGAUCAAUAUGUUAUAUCUUGUAUAUAAAUUUUCCAAAACCUGCUAUUUUUAGAGAGUUAUCAUUUUGUUAAGAAAUAUUGUAUAUCUGGGAUUGUGAUUUAAAAAUUCGGAUAACAAGAGUUUUUCUUGAUAGGUGAGUAUGCUUUUUAGAAUUUUUGAUCAAUAGACUAUAAUUUUAAAAUAAAUUUUCCAAAACCUGUUAUUUUUGGAAAUUUAUCAUUUUAUUGAUAAAUAUUGUAGAUUUGUGAUAGUGAUUUAGAAAUUAGGAAAACAAGAGUUUUUGUUGAUAGAUGAGUAUGCUUUUAGAAUUUUUGAUCAAUAUGUUAUAUUUUUAAAAUAAAUUUUGAAAAACUGCUAUAUUUGGAAAGUUAUCAUUUUGUAGAUAAAUAUUGUAGAUUUGAGAUUGUGAUUUAGAUAUUAUGAUAACAAGAGUUUUUGUUGAUAGAUGAGUAUGUUUUUAGAAUUUUAAUCAAUAUGUUAUAUCUUGUAUAUAAAUUUUCCAAAACCUGCUAUUUUUAGAAAGUUAUCAUUUUGUAGAGAAAUAUUGUAAAUCUGGGAUUGUGAUUUAAAAAUUAGGAUAACAAGAGUUUUUCUUGAUAGGUGGUUAUGCUUUUGAAAUUUUUGAUCAAUAAGUUAUAAUUUUAAAUAAAUUUUCCAAAACCUGCUAUUUUUGGAAAGUUAUCAUUUUGUUGAUAAAUAUUGGAAAUUUGAUAUAGUGAUUUAGAAAUUAGGAUAUCAAGAGUUUUUGUUGAUAGAUGAGUAUGCUUUUAGAAUUUUUGAUCAAUAAAUUAUAUUUUUAAAAUAAAAUUUAAAAAACUGCUAUAUUUGGGAAGAAAUUAUUUUGUAGAUAAAUAUCGUAGAUUUGGGAUUGUGAUAUAAAAAUUAAGAUAACAAUAGUUUGUGUUAGCAGGUG
RNAcentral lists this long non-coding RNA (2590 nucleotides) under Brassica napus (rape). Its description in RNAcentral is "long non-coding RNA (BNAP_LNC022207)". The record is from RNAcentral. Lineage: Eukaryota; Viridiplantae; Streptophyta; Magnoliopsida; Brassicales; Brassicaceae.